RNAcentral lists this unclassified non-coding RNA (906 nucleotides) under Hevea brasiliensis (rubber tree). The stretch from base 569 to 812 matches the Rfam family "RNase MRP". The record is from RNAcentral. Lineage: Eukaryota; Viridiplantae; Streptophyta; Magnoliopsida; Malpighiales; Euphorbiaceae.
UCUUCCCUUAAACCCAACAUGCACCAAAACCCCACCUUCUUUGGCUAAUGCUCUCGUCCAUUACGCAACUACAAACAUAACUCCUCAACAAACCCUGAAAGAAAUCUCUGUAACCUUAAGAGUUCUCGAGAAAAAAUCACCCUGCAACUUCCUAGUCUUUGGCCUUGGCCAUGACAGCUUGAUGUGGACAUCUCUAAACCAUGGUGGCCGCACAGUUUUCCUUGAAGAAGACACGUCCUGGAUAGAGCAGAUCAAGGAGAAAAUACCCAGUUUAGAAUCCUACCAUGUGAGCUACGACACCAAAGUGCAUCAAGCAGAUGGGCUGAUGGAGACUGGAAUGGGAGAAGAAUGCAAAGUGGUGAGUGAUCCAAGAUUCUCCAAAUGUCAACUCGCACUCAAGGGGUUCCCUAGCGAUGUGUAUGAUAUAGAAUGGGACUUGAUCAUGGUUGAUGCGCCAACUGGGUAUCAUGACGAGGCGCCAGGGAAAUGGCAAGUUUUGCAUCCCACAUCGGCUGGGAGCAAUAGCAUAUUAACUUUAUAAGUCUCCACCAAGGGCAUUAAAGGCACUUCACCAGGAGGUGGUGGUUGGGUGCCUCUGCUUGUACCCAGGAAAGUCCCCGGGCCCUUCCUGCAGAGAUGCAGUCCGGGAAUCGGGAAAACUUAGGCAUGGAAUUCGAUCGCAAUUGGCGAGGGGCUGAGACAAGUUUGGAGCCCUCGAAUUCUAUACUUGAGUCACAGUGGCCGUUGCUUCACAGUUAUUCACUUAGCCCGCUCUAGGGUUCUAACAGAACGGGGCUUACGGCCUCCUGGUGUGUUUGCCUUUUUCCUAUAUAAUCCAGGGCAUAUUUAGGCUACUGUGAGAUGUUUUAUUCUAAAUCAUAAAUAAUUAGUUAUCAUCUUCAAGUU